UUUAACAUAAAGGACUAAGAAGACAGACACCAAAUCAGAACUGCAGUUACAUACGUUCAUGCAUCAGUAACCUAAAAAGUGUAUUCUUUGAUGAGAGAAAUAAGUUUUCCUCCCUUCUCAAGGACUUUGGAUAACUUUACUUUCCACCCCAAUACAGAACAAACAUCAGCACAGAGGUAUCAGCUUCCAAGACUCACCUCAUCUCUGAUUUUACCUGGAAUGCAAUUAUGCGUUUAACAGCCUGCAGGCUUUUGAUUCAGAUAAUCGCGAAGAGGUCUUGCUACAGAGCUAGGAAGAUCCAAAGAAGAAAGUAGAAUGGAAUUAGGAGAUCUGCUGAAAUAUGAAGUUGCAUUAUCAAGUAAUAUAUAAACAUGCAAAAGGAGGGGUAGAAGCUUGAGUUGCAACCAAGGAAAUAACAGAAACCAUCUGAGAAGAUUCACCCACACUGCAUGUCUAAUAGCCUUCCUGCGGGUAUAGGAAUAUUUUCUGCUUUAAAGGAGUUACAUUCUAAGAAAAAAAAAUCUACAAUAACAAUGUCUACCAUAGUGUCAAUUCAAGUUAUGAAGCACCUGUCCUUGCAAUAAGAUACUACAUCAUCACAUGGACUACAUAUUAGAGCUCCA
This 623-nucleotide long non-coding RNA is filed under the name Gallus gallus (chicken). RNAcentral describes it as "lncRNA (ENSGALG00010019868.1)". Lineage: Eukaryota; Metazoa; Chordata; Aves; Galliformes; Phasianidae. The record is from RNAcentral.